Molecule: long non-coding RNA, 446 nt
Organism: Monopterus albus (swamp eel)
Lineage: Eukaryota; Metazoa; Chordata; Actinopteri; Synbranchiformes; Synbranchidae
Exons: 3
Source: RefSeq, a predicted model, not a curated record
CCCACUCCACCGUCACCGUAGUUUUGGUCACACCAACCACCUUCAGGUUGACCACUUCCAUCAGAGCUGAGAGAACAACACAAGGGAACCGGCAGGCAGCGACUGAGGAGGCCCACACUGCUGCUCGUAAACGGGGAACACGCUGAUCAGUAAAAGUGUUGCUACUCAUAACCACACAUCUCUGCUGGAGGGCUUUUACUGUGAAGAAGCUGCAGGAAGAGCUCGGUGUUUGCAGCUGCCUCAAACAGCAACCAAACACACAGCUGAUGCCCAGAAGCUGAUCAUAUGUGGCUGUCACGUGACAGAUUAUUAUGGCCAAGGGCCAGAGUCUUAACACAUUUUUACUUGUUUCCUCGUUUGGAUUUGUUUCCCCAUUAAAAAGCUUUGAAAGGCUCUCGUCCUGUGGUCUAGUUUUCUAAAGGUGAGGAAAUGAUUCAGCAGGUGAA